GACGAACGCUGGCGGCGUGCCUAAUACAUGCAAGUUGAGCGCUGAAGGUUGGUACUUGUACCAACUGGAUGAGCAGCGAACGGGUGAGUAACGCGUGGGGAAUCUGCCUUUGAGCGGGGGACAACAUUUGGAAACGAAUGCUAAUACCGCAUAAAAACUUUAAACACAAGUUUUAAGUUUGAAAGAUGCAAUUGCAUCACUUAAAGAUGAUCCCGCGUUGUAUUAGCUAGUUGGUGAGGUAAAGGCACACCAAGGCGAUGAUACAUAGCCGACCUGAGAGGGUGAGCGGCCACAUUGGGACUGGGACACGGCCCAAACUCCUACGGGAGGGAGCAGUAGGGAAUCUUCGGCAAUGGACGAAAGUCUGACCGAGCAACGCCGCGUGAGUGAAGAAGAUUUUCGGAUCGUAAAACUCUGUUGGUAGAGAAGAACGUUGGUGAGAGUGGAAAGCUCAUCAAGUGACGGUAACUACCCAGAAAGGGACGGCUAACUACGUG
RNAcentral lists this ribosomal RNA (497 nucleotides) under uncultured bacterium. Its description in RNAcentral is "partial 16S ribosomal RNA". It matches the Rfam family "Bacterial small subunit ribosomal RNA", at positions 28 to 507 of the family's 1533-position model. The record is from RNAcentral.